GACGAACGCUGGCGGCGUGCUUAACACAUGCAAGUCGAACGAAGAGCGAUGGAAGCUUGCUUCUAUCAAUCUUAGUGGCGAACGGGUGAGUAACGCGUAAUCAACCUGCCCUUCAGAGGGGGACAACAGUUGGAAAUGACUGCUAAUACCGCAUACGAUCUAAACUCGGCAUCGAGGAUAGAUGAAAGGUGGCCUCUACAUGUAAGCUAUCACUGCAGGAGGGGAUUGCGUCGGAUUAGCUAGUUGGAGGGGUAACGGCCCACCCAGGCGAUGAUCAGUAGACGGUCUGAGAGGAUGAACGGCCACAUUGGGACUGAGACACGGCCCAGACUCCUACGGGAGGCAGCAGUGGGGAAUCUUCCGCAAUGGACGAAAGUCUGACGGAGCAACGCCGCGUGAGUGAGGACGGCCGUCGGGUUGUAAAGCUCUGUUAAUCGGGACGAAAGGCCUUCUUGCGAAUAGUGAGAAGGAUUGACGGUACCGGAAUAGAAAGCCACGGCUAACUACGUG
This 510-nucleotide ribosomal RNA is filed under the name uncultured bacterium. Its description in RNAcentral is "partial 16S ribosomal RNA". It matches the Rfam family "Bacterial small subunit ribosomal RNA", at positions 28 to 507 of the family's 1533-position model. The record is from RNAcentral.